CGCGGAGUGGACCAGUAGUAGGUCGCCAGGCUCAUAACCUGGAGUGCGCCCGUGCAAUUCGGGCCUCCGCAA
This 72-nucleotide transfer RNA is filed under the name Candidatus Vogelbacteria bacterium. RNAcentral's name for it is "tRNA-Met". It matches the Rfam family "tRNA". From Rfam's summary of the family: Transfer RNA (tRNA) molecules are approximately 80 nucleotides in length. The record is from RNAcentral. Lineage: Bacteria; Candidatus Vogeliibacteriota.